Heterocephalus glaber (naked mole-rat) is the source of this 160-nucleotide small nuclear RNA. Its record names the gene U2. It matches the Rfam family "U2 spliceosomal RNA". Rfam says of the family: U2 is a small nuclear RNA (snRNA) component of the spliceosome (involved in pre-mRNA splicing). Complementary binding between U2 snRNA (in an area lying towards the 5' end but 3' to hairpin I) and the branchpoint sequence (BPS) of the intron results the bulging out of an unpaired adenosine, on the BPS, which initiates a nucleophilic attack at the intronic 5' splice site, thus starting the first of two transesterification reactions that mediate splicing. The record is from Ensembl. NCBI's taxonomy places the organism in Eukaryota, Metazoa, Chordata, Mammalia, Rodentia, Bathyergidae.
AUCGCUUCUUGGCCUUUUGGCUAAGAUCAAGUGUAAUAUUUAUGCAAAGCGUGCAUUUUUAAAUUACUUCCAGAAUCAAAGUUAUUAGAAGUAAGCUCUUGAAAGAUCAGAUUCAAUUUUCAAGGGGUACAAAGCAUACCUGUAUUUUAUCCUACAUUCU